This 325-nucleotide small RNA is filed under the name Vigna angularis var. angularis. RNAcentral describes it as "Non-protein coding transcript". The record is from RNAcentral. Lineage: Eukaryota; Viridiplantae; Streptophyta; Magnoliopsida; Fabales; Fabaceae.
UAUGGUGCUACAAUUGUGUCUGUGGUAACCCCUGAUAAACACGGAAAACUAGCUGAUAUUGUUCUUGGUUAUGAUUCUCUUGAUUCUUAUAAGAAUGACACAACUUAUUUCGGGGCAGUGAUUGGACGGGUGGCCAAUAGGAUUGGAGGUGCUAAAUUCACUUUGAAUGACAAAACCUACCACUUACCCGCAAAUGAUCACGGAAACACACUUCACGGUGGCACAAGAGGUUUGAGUGACGUUAUAUGGACAGUGGAAUCUCACAAAAAACACAGCCAUGUAACAUUUACCUACGACAGUCCUGAAAACGAUCAAGGCUUUCCUG